GACGAACGCUGGCGGCGUGCUUAACACAUGCAAGUCGAACGGAAAGGCCCUGCUUUUGUGGGGUGCUCGAGUGGCGAACGGGUGAGUAACACGUGAGUAACCUGCCCUUGACUUUGGGAUAACUUCAGGAAACUGGGGCUAAUACCCGAUAGGAGCUCCUGCUGCAUGGUGUGGGUUGGAAAGUUUCGGCGGUUGGGGCUGGACUCGCGGCUUAUCAGCUUCUUGGUGGGGUAGUGGUUUACCAAGGGUUUGACGGGUAGCCGGCCUGAGAGGUGGACCAGGGACAUGGGGACUACGGGACGGACCAGUAUCGUACGGGAGGCAGCAGGCGGAAGCUUUGCGCAAUGGGGCGAAGUCUGAGACGGAAACCCCGGGUUCGUAAUGACGGCCUUCGGGUUGAAAACCGCCGUGGCCUGUAACAAAGAGGGAUUGACGGUAAUGGGUAAGGAAGCACCGGCUAACUACGUG
This 468-nucleotide ribosomal RNA is filed under the name uncultured bacterium. RNAcentral describes it as "partial 16S ribosomal RNA". It matches the Rfam family "Bacterial small subunit ribosomal RNA", at positions 28 to 507 of the family's 1533-position model. The record is from RNAcentral.